This 492-nucleotide ribosomal RNA is filed under the name uncultured bacterium. RNAcentral describes it as "partial 16S ribosomal RNA". It matches the Rfam family "Bacterial small subunit ribosomal RNA", at positions 29 to 507 of the family's 1533-position model. The record is from RNAcentral.
AGUGAACGCUGGCGGUAGGCCUAACACAUGCAAGUCGAACGGCAGCACAGUAAGAGCUUGCUCUUACGGGUGGCGAGUGGCGGACGGGUGAGGAAUACAUCGGAAUCUACUUUUUCGUGGGGGAUAACGUAGGGAAACUUACGCUAAUACCGCAUACGACCUACGGGUGAAAGCAGGGGAUCUUCGGACCUUGCGCGAUUGAAUGAGCCGAUGUCGGAUUAGCUAGUUGGCGGGGUAAAGGCCCACCAAGGCGACGAUCCGUAGCUGGUCUGAGGGGAUGAUCCGCUAGCCUGGCACUGAGGCAAGGACCAGACUCCUACGCGAGGCAACAGUGGGGAAUAUUGGACAAUGAGCGAAAGCCUAAUCCAGCCAUACCGCGUGGGUCAAGAUGGCCUUCUGGUUCUAGAGACAUUAUGUUGGGAAAGAAGAGAAGCACGUUGAUACCCCGCUGUUCUGACGGUACCCAAAGAAUAAGCACCGGCUAACUUCGUG